GGUCUUGUUAUUUGGAGAGGAUGCUGGGAACAGAAAUUCUAUUAGGUUUAACUGUUCAUUAGCUCUUAGAUCACUGCAGGAAGCACAUUAAUGUGUCACUUCUCAGCCACAGCUCUGUAAGGAUGUGCUGUUCUGAAACCCCAAAGAUGGAUAGAUUUCAAAGUACUGACAAUAUGUGUACGCUCUUCAGCGGCAAAUGGUCACAAAUCAUCAACAAGUAACUUAGAUGGUAUAUGUAAGGCAUGAAGGCAGCUAGUUGCUACCAUUAGCCCAAUGGAGACCUGGUGGCUGAGGGGCAAGAGCAGGUGACACUGGACCAGAUAUUGAUGAUAUGAUCAGACAGCUCCAAACAUUGCAUCGUGCUUAAAAAUAAUUGAGGUUGGGAUGGUUGAGAUGAUGUUAAAUUUUUUGUUUACAUACCAAGGUAUCUUCUUAGUUGUUAUUUUAGUAAAUAUGGGGUAAUCAAUGGAACUGGUUUAAUUGUUAUGGUGCUGUUAGGGUAAUACAGUACUGCCAUUGCUGUAUCUUUAAUAUCUUUACGAAACAAGCUAACACAUUUAUUUGAAUGAUAAAUGAAGAGAUAAUUAACAAUUAAUUUGUUUGAAAAUAGAGGUGAGUGAUCAAGUUACUUAGGGGAUCUACUUUGAGUUAAAUGUAACGCAAUAAUGUUAUCUAGUACGUUCUAGUCUUUUAACAACAUCCUGGUCUACAUUUGCAAUGUUUUGUGCAGAUGUUUACUAAUGACUGUCUACUAUUCUGGGAAAUUUGAUCAUUAGUCAAUAAUAUGAUCAUUAGUCAAUAAUUUAACCAUUUAGGGACUAUCAGAUCAAUAUCGCUUGCUUUAUUCACUUUUACAAAUUGACUUGAUUAUACGAUCAAAUUAAAUCAUAUAUGAAAUCAUCCAAAUAUUUGUAAUGAUUCUAGAUAAGUUUUGAUGAUUACAAGAAUCUGUAAGGUCUUUGAGCAAAAAUGCUUUAAACUUUUUAAAAAAACAAUACUUUUCCUGUAAAAUUUUCUCAAAAAUCUAAAUUGUAUGAAUUGGACCAGUACUCAGAACUACAGUAAAACUCGUUUCGUAUGAACACGGAUAUAGCAAAUUCUCGGAUAUAGGGAAGUUUUUUUGAGUCCCUGGUAAAAUUCUUAACAAAUCUGCGCAAAAUUUUACGUCUAUCAUGAAUUCAGAUAUAACGAAUUUACGGAUAUAGCAAACUGAUUUUUGAGUCCUGUAGAGAUGAAUAAUAACAAAAUUUAACACUUUUAUAACAAUUUCUUUACAGUUUAAAAACGUUUUCACUACCAUUUAACAUUAUAGUUUGAAUAAAUUUAUUUUCAUAUAAGUAUUUCAAUUCACAAUCCCAUUAUUAAAGGUAUCAAAGUAAUGUUUUUUUCAUUUUAAGCCUCAAUUAGCAAAGUUAUAGUCUGGUGUAAGAAAACAUGUAUAUAGUGAAUUCGCGAUAGUUAUUAUUGCGAAUUUAAUAUAACGAAUUACGGAUAUAACAAAGUAAAUCCAUUGGUCCCUAGGACUUAGCAAUAACCAAGUUUUACUGUACCAGGUAUUAUCUACAAUUUAUAUACCAUAUGAGGAGUUUGGAUUUGAUGUUGCUAUCAGCACAUUGAGGAUAGAAUAUGAAGAACCAGAAAAAAAUAUUUGGGAGGAUGCUGAUAUGAUGAUGAAAUACUUAAACAAGUAAUCCUAUAGAUAGAGGGAAGGAGACAGUAAAAUACCUAAUAAUUAUCAUGAAUCAUAAUACCCCGACCAUUCUUCUUCACUUCAAAGACUUUGGUUUGGAUUUAUCGUAGCGCAGCGUGAAAUCCUUAUGUCAAUAUUUAUACGAUAUAAGCGGACAGUAGGAUAUCUUUUGGAACGAUCAUCGCCAUGUCGUCAUGGUGAAUGAUCAAUAUUUUGAAUGAACCAAUAUUCAUGUCUUGAAUGUCCAGGGUAAAAGCAGAUUGCAACAAUAUAAAUGUUGUGUUUAUAUAAUUGAAUUUUCAAGUCAUUUACCUGUAAGGUGUGUUGUCACAUUGUUAUUUUUGUUAUACAGAAUCGUUGUCGCUUCAUUGUGGGUGUCUCUGGCUCAGGUUGUUCUCAUUCAGCAAUCAUUGGGGGAUAUUCUUGUUUGGUUUCAUAACGCACACAGUUUUUUUUAUUUUUAUUGAUGAAUUUACCGGUACAUUAGGUUGCUUUUGUGAUGCCAAACAAAUAAUUUUAUUUGUCCCAAUUUUGCAAAUUCUGUUAUGUAUUGCAAAUAAAAAAAUUCAUUGAAAAAAUAAUUAUGGAUCAUAUAAUUUCUUAAAGAUUAAUUCAUAUAUGACAAAAAUACAGUAAAACAUUGUUACAUCAAACAUGCUUAAAGUGAAUUAAUGAUAACAUCUUAGUCAGUAGUAUCCCCUUUAUCAUCAUAAAAUUGUAUCAUUAAAUUAUUUGAUAUGAUAAUUUUUGGUUAUCAUCCCUGGCAGAGUGCUCUAACCAAGCUGCUGUGAAAUAGAAUAAAGUGAUUUUGUACAGACAUCAUAUUUUUUAGGGUAACGCAGGUUACAUCAGAUGCAAAAUGACCAUUGACUUGGAUCUAUAUUCUAUUAAAGAAAGUAUGGCAUCUUUUUAGAAUGUUUAGAUCGGAAUUUUGAUAAAUUCAAGAAACAAGAUGACUUCAGAAAAACAGAAUUGAUCCAUUGAUCAAUUUUAAGCAGUAAUGGAAGAACUCAAUGUGACAUAAUUUAGUCAAUUACAGUUCAAAGCCCAAUCAGUUCCAGAUCAUUUAUUGAGUAAUGGAGCCUUUAUUUAGACCAAUUCUUGAGACUAAGGCACAUCAUAGGGUUUAGAUUGUACUAUACCCAUGACUGCUCAAAGCCACAGUUUCAAAUUCAGUGUCACAUGAAGUAUUUGCCGACAUACUGUUGCCUUGAUAUUAAUGGUUCUGGCUUAGAAGCACUCUCUUGUGAAAUCACUAGAAAUUACCAUUAAAAGAAACUUUCCAUUAGCAAUUAAGAAAAUUUUUCUAAAAGUGAAACAGAAAGUGUUUUUGUUUAACAGUAGACCAUUUUGGGUAAAAUAUGAUAGACAGGAGAAUUAGGCCUCAGGUUGUGUCAUCUUAAUCAAAGCAUCUCUUUUACUGUCUUCUCUAUCUUGAUUAAUAACUAGUAAUGCAGUCAUUAGGGAAUGCACACCUGAUCACAAAAUUUAGAGUAUGAGCAAAAAAUCUUUGAAAAGUGUACUUGUACAUAAUUAUUAUAAUUUAUUUUUACUUGUAAUGCUUAAUUACAAGCGUUACUGUAAAAGGAAAUUAAAGAUAAUGUUUUGUAAACCUGCAAAUUCUUGUGUAUGAUUUUGACUCUUGUUUGUUCCUAAGAAUGUAAUAUAAACUGUCAAUUCCUUAUAUUACGCGAGUACUUAAUUCCGCGAUCCCGCUGUUUUGUAUCAAAUCGGGAAAAUAUAAAAUAGUAAAUGCGGAAUAUAGUUAUCCACAUUUUUUAUAGUUCACAACUCUCAAAAAAUAAUGGUGAGAUUUUAAAAUCCGCGAGGAGAGCUUCUUGCAAUUUUACGCUGAUAUAAAUUCCUCGUGUUUAAUUAGGAAUAUACAGUUCCCCUUUUAUUUGCUCAAUACAUGGAAAUGUUGUCUUAACAACUAUUUUCUGAAAAGUUAAAAUGUCUUUGGAACAACAUCAUGAAAAGGCUUAUAAUUUCUUUGUAUAGUGCACAUGUACCAGUAUCCGUGCUGUUAACAUCAAGAUCAUCAUGUAUAAUAUAUAUAAGUAUAAUUAAUGUACCCUGGAUUAUCGUGACUGGAUUAAGUUCAGAAUCUAGUGUGUUUUGGAAUUUUCCAUGGCACUGUUGUCAAAGUAACAGUCUCCAACACUCCCCAGGCUAUUUGCAGUGAAUCUCAUUGUUGAGUGAUAAUUUACUUCGACAGGCAUUGAGAUUUUGAAAUUUGCUCAUCAAUAUGCAUAAAAUUGGUUAUUGGGUUGAAUACCAAUCCCCCAUUAAGGCAGUAUUCUAUCAUUUGAUCUGAUCUUAUAUAUGUUUGAUUAAUGGAAAGCAUGUGUAAUUUUCCAAUAAUUAACAAUCAUUGCCCUUGAAUUAUUCAGAACCACAAUCAAUUGGGAAAAAUAAAAUUUGAAUGAGGAUGUAUAGUACAUUCCUUUGUUUAACUUGGAUAUCUAUAAUGAUUUAAUAUGCAUGGGUUAAAUGGUCCCAUGAAUAUAAUAAAUUGUCAGCUAGUGUGUUUAUAAUGAGAAUAUCUGGUUUUGGAUAUAUGGUAGGUUAAUUUUAAUUUAAGUUGCUGUGCAGUAGAGAGGGGUUAUGUUGAAUAUUUAAAUCUACUAGCCUAAGGUAUAUUUUCUUCCAUAUUUCUCUAGAAAUGUGGUUGUGUUUAUAUGUCCACUAACAAAGCUGAAACAUAUAUCUGGUAACCAAAACGUACAGUCUUAAAAAAAAUCAUGAAGAAUGUCAUCAUAUAUUUCCUGAUAGCUUGCUUUUAGAGAUCUGAUUGGUUAAUAAGCAGGGUGGAAAAAAGGGGUGGAGGGUUAAAAAAAAAAUUACCUCACACCGCAAUGCCACGUACUGUAAACGUGGAAAUUUUGACGAUGUGUUAAUUUUGACUAUGUUGGCGAUUUUUAUUUUCUCGUCAAAAUUUCCACUCGCCAAACUUCACAUCAUAUAUAUAGCGUAUUAAUACCAGAAUUUUUAAUUGGCAUUAUCCCGCUAUGACUAGAUCAAAGUUAAUGAUUUAUUUAUGUAAAUGGCUAUAAAAACACGUAAACACGUAACAUUGAAAAAACCCAUUAUAUCUAAACAAGCAUGUUUUAAAUGCAAUUAUCACUCAAUCCUCACAACAUUCUCUAAUAACUUUGCGUGCGUAUUUAUCAUGCCGUGUUUGACCUACUUUAUUACCUCAGGCAAUAUCGUAUAGUGAAUAAAAACAAAAUACAAAGAACAAUUUUAUUCCAUCAAAUAUGUACAGACUUUUUUUUCAAUCAAAGUUAAAUUUUAUUAAUACCAACGCUUGUAAAAGAGUUCGCAAGAAAGAUAACUCUAGCCCUGGCAUUAUAAGAAAUCAAAGAUAGAUAACUCUUACUCUUAUUCAAAAAUUCGUCAAAAUUAAAACUCGCCAAUUGUCUCUUACUAAAAAAUCGUCAAAUUUUGAACUCGUCAAUAUAACCACGUUUACAGUAUAUAUACGUGUAAAACAAAUAUACUGACAAUUAACUUAGCUUAUAUGGUAGAGGAUAAGACUUUUAACUUGGGGUUGUGGGUCACAUUGGGUGCCAAAUGUAACAGAUGGUGAAAAGUCAAAUCUCAGCUGGAACUCAAAACCCAUAGCAUCUGGCAUACUGUGCCAGCAGUCUACCACUGAGCUACUGAGACCUGAUAUAUUGAAUGAAAGUAACACACCUGUAACACUGACACAAAUUUGUGGUUUUUUUUAAUCAUUGCGACCAUAUAUAUAGUCUCGGUGUAUGAUAAAAAGUCCAGGGUAAAUCCCAGUACACCUUUGAUUGGACCUGGGUAUAACUAAAAUAAUGUGCCCUCUGUAAAGAAGCAUUUUAUUGAUAUCAUGCAAUCAUAGCUCUAGUGGUAAUUAUUGGUAUUGUCAAAACCUGUUUAAACGGCAGUUAGAUCUCUAAAUACUGAUUGUUUAUCGUAAACAGUCACCUUUUUGAUGUACCGGUAUAUUGCCAUAAAAAAAAAAUCAUGUACUUAACUAUGCAGUGUAUGAAUUUCAGAAUAUUUGGGGUUACAUAUA
Long non-coding RNA from Magallana angulata, 5741 nucleotides. RefSeq lists it as uncharacterized. The transcript has 2 exons. NCBI's taxonomy places the organism in Eukaryota, Metazoa, Mollusca, Bivalvia, Ostreida, Ostreidae. The record is from RefSeq and is a predicted model, not a curated record.